GACGAACGCUGGCGGCGUGCCUAAUACAUGCAAGUAGAACGCACAGUUUAUACCGUAGCUUGCUACACCAUAAACUGUGAGUUGCGAACGGGUGAGUAACGCGUAGGUAACCUGCCUGGUAGCGGGGGAUAACUAUUGGAAACGAUAGCUAAUACCGCAUAAUAUUGAUUAUUGCAUGAUAAUUGAUUGAAAGAUGCUAUUGCAUCACUACCAGAUGGACCUGCGUUGUAUUAGCUAGUAGGUGAGGUAACGGCUCACCUAGGCGACGAUACAUAGCCGACCUGAGAGGGUGAUCGGCCACACUGGGACUGGGACCCGGCCCAGACUCCUACGGGAGGCAGCAGUAGGGAAUCUUCGGCAAUGGACGAAAGUCUGACCGAGCAACGCCGCGUGAGUGAAGAAGGUUUUCGGAUCGUAAAGCUCUGUUGUAAGAGAAGAACGGGUGUGAGAGUGGAAAGUUCACACUGUGACGGUAUCUUACCAGAAAGGGACGGCUAACUACGUG
This 505-nucleotide ribosomal RNA is filed under the name uncultured bacterium. RNAcentral's name for it is "partial 16S ribosomal RNA". It matches the Rfam family "Bacterial small subunit ribosomal RNA", at positions 28 to 507 of the family's 1533-position model. The record is from RNAcentral.